ACAAUAGUAUCGAUAGUACUAAGUUUUUCGCCGGUUGAUCUAUCCAUUUAAUUAUUUUUAUCCGUUAAAUCAUAUUAUUCAACCAACCACCGAUUCAACCUUAGGGAUCACUAUCAUCCUAACCACACAUCUGUCCAUCUAAAUGGUCCAAAUUUCAGGCAAGUUUCGUAACAAUUUUACCUUUUUUUUGUAAAGAUAUAUAAAAUAUAUAUGAAC
Molecule: long non-coding RNA, 216 nt
Filed under: Ananas comosus (pineapple)
Lineage: Eukaryota; Viridiplantae; Streptophyta; Magnoliopsida; Poales; Bromeliaceae
Description: long non-coding RNA (ACOM_LNC037813)
Source: RNAcentral